Amphimedon queenslandica is the source of this 298-nucleotide long non-coding RNA. RefSeq lists it as uncharacterized. Lineage: Eukaryota; Metazoa; Porifera; Demospongiae; Haplosclerida; Niphatidae. The record is from RefSeq and is a predicted model, not a curated record. The transcript is spliced from 3 exons.
UCCAAAAUUCAUAAAAUGAGUUCCAGUCGUGGUGCCAGUAGAAAAUCAUCUGCUGGUUCUACCAAAUCCCAACUUCUUCAAUUCUCCUAGUCAAAGUGAUGGGGUAGGUAAGGAGGGGACUGUACCAGAAUCCUUUUUGAAACAAGCUCAUAAAACUGGUUCACUGAAUCUGUCAAACAGUUAGUGGGUGAAAGUCUAUAAUUUAUUGUCAGCGCUUGAGGUCCAGUACAAUGAGUUAACAUGUCUACCUAAUAAUGUGAUCAAACUGGAUAAACUAUUUAUAAAAUAUUUGUAAAGU